RNAcentral lists this ribosomal RNA (162 nucleotides) under uncultured Hyphomicrobiaceae bacterium. RNAcentral's name for it is "partial 16S ribosomal RNA". Lineage: Bacteria; Pseudomonadati; Pseudomonadota; Alphaproteobacteria; Hyphomicrobiales; Hyphomicrobiaceae. The record is from RNAcentral.
AUGCAACGCAGCUGAUGCAGCCAUGCCGCGUGUGUGAUGAUUGCCUUCGGGUUGUAAGCACUUUCAUAUGUGAGGAUAGUGACAGUAUCAUCACGAUUAGGCUCCUGCUAUCUUCGUGCCAGCAGCCGCGGUAUUACACCGUGCCAGCAGCCGCGGUAAUAC